CCCACGACACGGGCUCCCGAGUCUUCUUUCUCAGGGCCUCUUCCUCCUUAGCGGGCUCCGGCCCUGUGCCCAGCCGUGCUUUGUGCCCACUGUGUCCUCAGUCAGCUCACUGACUGAACGAGUGCAUGUGCCCGCGCUGCACCGGGCACAAGGCUAAGUCUUGGGGGCAGCAAGGUCCCUGUUUGGCAUAAAGCUGCUGCCCUACUGAGCGCAGGAAUGGCCGAGUUGUAACCAGGUGUACAAGACAGUGAUUCAACAAGUCUAUGUUACACUGUGCUCACCCCAAGGAUAGCUGCCGUCUGUCACCCGACGAUGCUGUUUCAAUACCACUGAUUAUAUUCCCUACGCUGUA
Long non-coding RNA from Hyaena hyaena (striped hyena), 352 nucleotides. RefSeq lists it as uncharacterized. The transcript has 2 exons. The record is from RefSeq and is a predicted model, not a curated record. NCBI's taxonomy places the organism in Eukaryota, Metazoa, Chordata, Mammalia, Carnivora, Hyaenidae.